CCCAGCACUUAAAGGAACACAACAGUGAUAGAAAUAAAAAAUGAUAUGCCCAACGCUAUAGUGCCCUAGUGACCAUUUAGGUGACCAGAUCCCUACUGCCAGGGUUAGAAAGUUGCCUUUACUUACCUUUUCUCCCUCGCAGCGUUGGUCUCUGGCACACCGUUCCGCCUUCUUGUCUGAGAUCAUCGAGAUUGAUCCAAUAGGAAAGCAUUGGUAGGCUAAUGCACAUGGGACCAUUUGAUUGAAAUAGAUAAGCUUUACUCCACUAUUUCAGCAGAGGUGCCUCUAGUGGCUGUAUGGCACUAUAACAGCCAAUAGACACAGGUUACUCCUACAAUGGAAACAUUGCUGUUCC
Molecule: non-coding RNA, 355 nt
Organism: Pelobates cultripes (western spadefoot toad)
Lineage: Eukaryota; Metazoa; Chordata; Amphibia; Anura; Pelobatidae
Source: the annotation of a GenBank genome assembly